GCUGGAUAUCCCUUCACUGGUAGCCUGGUAACAUACACUCCCAGGUCUUUCUCUGCCUCUGUGGUGGAUAGUGGAGUGUUUCCCAUGUGGUAUUGGUGUGCUGGAUAUCCCUUCACUGGUAGCCUGGUAACAUACACUCCCAGGUCUUUCUCUGCCUCUGUGGUGGAUAGUGGAGUGUUUCCCAUGUGGUAUUGGUGUGCUGGAUAUCCCUUCACUGGUAGCCUGGUAACAUACACUCCCAGGUCUUUCUCUGCCUCGGUGGUGGAUAGUGGAGUGUUUCCCAUGUGGUAUUGGUGUGCUGGAUAUCCCUUCACUGGUAGCCUGGUAACAUACACUCCCAGGUCUUUCUCUGCCUCUGUGGUGGAUAGUGGAGUGUUUCCCAUGUGGUAUUGGUGUGCUGGAUAUCCCUUCACUGGUAGCCUGGUAACAUACACUCCCAGGUCUUUCUCUGCCUCUGUGGUGGAUAGUGGAGUGUUUCCCAUGUGGUAUUGGUGUGCUGGAUAUCCCCUCCCAAGGUGCAGGACUUUACAUUUUUCUUCACUGAAUUGUAGCAGCCACUUUUUGUUCCAUUCCUGUAGCUUGGUGAUGUCUUCUUGUAGGAAAUCCGCAGUCAAGGGUUUGAUGAGGAGACUUGGGUAUGAAAAAUAAAAUAGAGUGACAAAAAGUAAGGAGAGGAAUAAAGCAAAAGGGAACAUAAACAAUAUCUAGUGUUCUAAACAUUUUGAUCCUCCGCCUCUUCCUUUUGAUUUUUCUUUUAUACCUCUUAAUCCUCCUCUUCCUCUUAAUCCUCUUUGGAACUUCUUAUUUCUUUUAAUCCUCUUUUGAACCUCUUAAUACACUUCCUUUUCCUCUUAAUCCUCCUCCUCUUCCUCUUAAUCCUCCUCUUCCUCUUAAUCCUCUUCUAAACUUCUUAAUACACUUCCUUUUCCUCUUAAUCCUUCUCCUCUUCCUCUUAAUCCUCCUCUUCCUCUUAAUCCUUUUCUAAACUUCUUAAUACACUUCCUUUUCCUCUUAAUCCUUCUCCUCUUCCUCUUAAUCCUCCUCUUCCUCUUAAUUCUCUUCUAAACUUCGUAAUACACAUCCUUUUCCUCUUAAUCCUCCUCUUCCUCUUAAUCUGCCUCCUCUUCCUCCUAAUCCUCUUCUAACCCUCUUAAUCCUUCUCCUCUUCCUCUUAAUCCUCUUCUAACCCUCUUAAUCCUUCUCCUCUUCCUCUUAAUCCUCUUCUAACCCUCUUAAUCCUUCUCCUCUUCCUCUUAAUCCUCUUCUAACCCUCUUAAUCCUUCUCCUCUUCCUCUUAAUCCUCUUCUAACCCUCUUAAUCCUUCUCCUCUUCCUCUUAAUCCUCUUCCUUGUCAAUCUCGUCAAAUUAACAGCUGGGUUGAAACCAAGAAAAAUACUGAAAUGCAACCACGAUUUAUACCUAACAUCACCAUCUGACCUGACCCAUUCAUAACCUGCCCUAACAACCCGAUGAAGCAACCAACAGAGGGUAACCAAGCAGCCUUACGUAACACAAACACACUAGGCGGAGUACCAAGAAGCAGAAACAAUACGAAUCUAAUAUUAAAAUCAUCCGGCAAAACCCAUUUAUAACCCUGCCUGGAGAUGUAAUGAUAUCUUACCCUGACACCCCAAUAAAGUAACCAAUAGAGGGUAACUAAGCAACCUUACCUAAUACAAACACACUAGGCGGAGUACAGGUGACUCGAUUGACGCGAGUAUUGUGUCCUUGAAGAGGUCGCGUAAAUCAAAAACAAUGUAAAUCAAACAAGAGGUAGGUUUGUACCUUUAUUGCCUACUGUAUCACUCUGACUCCUCUCCCUCUCGUGGUUCCUCCUCUGGCUGCCCUUCCCCUCGUGGUAGCACAGCAGCGAGGGUGUUGUUGUUGUUGAGUAGCGUGGCAGCGUGGGUACUGUAUUGUUGUUCAAGUGGCGCGCGGGAAGAACUGAGCUCAGCUGUGUGGCCGUGGUGCUGUGUGAGUCCAGUUGUAUGAGACAUCUGGUGGCCACUCCAUAAAAUAUCACGUAUAAGUGAA
This is an RNA transcript of Eriocheir sinensis (Chinese mitten crab), 2034 nucleotides long. RefSeq lists it as uncharacterized. The transcript has 2 exons. The record is from RefSeq and is a predicted model, not a curated record. Lineage: Eukaryota; Metazoa; Arthropoda; Malacostraca; Decapoda; Varunidae.